Molecule: ribosomal RNA, 798 nt
Filed under: uncultured Glomeraceae
Lineage: Eukaryota; Fungi; Glomeromycota; Glomeromycetes; Glomerales; Glomeraceae
Description: SSU rRNA
Rfam family: Eukaryotic small subunit ribosomal RNA
Source: RNAcentral
AUCAACUUUCGAUGGUAGGAUAGAGGCCUACCAUGGUGGUAACGGGUAACGGGGUGUUAGGGCACGACACCGGAGAGGGAGCCUGAGAAACGGCUACCACAUCCAAGGAUGGCAGCAGGCGCGCAAAUUACCCAAUCCCGAAACGGGGAGGUAGUGACAAUAAAUAACAAUACGGGGUUCUUUCGGAUCUCGUAAUUGGAAUGAGUACAAUUUAAAUCUCUUAACGAGGAACAAUUGGAGGGCAAGUCUGGUGCCAGCAGCCGCGGUAAUUCCAGCUCCAAUAGCGUAUAUUAAAGUUGUUGCAGUUAAAAAGCUCGUAGUUGAAUUUCGGGAUCAAAUUGUCGGUCGUGCCUUGGUACGCACUGGCAUUAUUGGUCCCUACCUUCUGAAGAACCGCGAUGUCAUUAAUUUGGUGUCGUGGGGAAUCAGGACUGUUACUUUGAAAAAAUUAGAGUGUUUAAAGCAGGCGCACGCUUGAAUACAUUAGCAUGGAAUAAUGAAAUAGGACGUUUGAUUCUAUUUUGUUGGUUUCUAGGAUCGACGUAAUGAUUAAUAGGGAUAGUUGGGGGCAUUAGUAUUCAAUUGUCAGAGGUGAAAUUCUUGGAUUUAUUGAAGACUAACUACUGCGAAAGCAUUUGCCAAGGAUGUUUUCAUUAAUCAAGAACGAAAGUUAGGGGAUCGAAGACGAUCAGAUACCGUCGUAGUCUUAACCAUAAACUAUGCCGACUAGGGAUCGGAUGAUGUUGAUUUUAUAAUGACUCAUUCGGCGCCUUACGGGAAACCAAAGUGUUUGGGUUC